AAACCAACAGGGAUUGCCUUAGUAGCGGCGAGUGAAGCGGCAAAAGCUCAAAUUUGAAAUCUGGCGGGUUCCCCGUCCGAGUUGUAAUUUGAAGAAGGAUACUUUGGUACUGGCUCUUGUCUAUGUUCCUUGGAACAGGACGUCACAGAGGGUGAGAAUCCCGUGCGAUGAGAUGCCCAGUUCCGUGUAAAGUUCCUUCGAAGAGUCGAGUUGUUUGGGAAUGCAGCUCUAAGUGGGUGGUAAAUUCCAUCUAAAGCUAAAUAUUGGCGAGAGACCGAUAGCGAACAAGUACAGUGAUGGAAAGAUGAAAAGAACUUUGAAAAGAGAGUGAAAAAGUACGUGAAAUUGUUGAAAGGGAAGGGCUUGAGAUCAGACUUGGUAUUUGGAAUGAAACUCUUUCGAGAGUCUCCGCUUCUGCUUACCGGGCCAGCAUCGGUUUGGGGAGAAGGAUAACCGCAAAGGAACGUGGCACCACUCGUGGUGUGUUAUAGCCUUUGUCUAUACUUCUUCCCCAGUCCGAGGUCUGCGAUUCGUCUAGGAUGCUGGCAUAAUGAUCUUAAGUCGC
Molecule: ribosomal RNA, 565 nt
Filed under: Spathaspora sp.
Lineage: Eukaryota; Fungi; Ascomycota; Pichiomycetes; Serinales; Debaryomycetaceae
Also listed under: 1 other name
Description: partial large subunit ribosomal RNA
Rfam family: Eukaryotic large subunit ribosomal RNA
Source: RNAcentral